AUUGAACGCUGGCGGCAUGCCUUACACAUGCAAGUCGAACGGUAACAGGUCUUCGGAUGCUGACGAGUGGCGAACGGGUGAGUAAUACAUCGGGACGUGCCCAGACGUGGGGGAUAACGAGGCGAAAGCUUUGCCAAUACCGCAUACGAUCUAAGGAUGAAAGCAGGGGACCGCAAGGCCUUGUGCGUUUGGAGCGGCCGAUGGCAGAUUAGGUAGUUGGUGGGAUAAAAGCUUACCAAGCCGACGAUCUGUAGCUGGUCUGAGAGGACGACCAGCCACACUGGGACUGAGACACGGCCCAGACUCCUACGGGAGGCAGCAGUGGGGAAUUUUGGACAAUGGGCGAAAGCCUGAUCCAGCAAUGCCGCGUGCAGGAUGAAGGCCUUCGGGUUGUAAACUGCUUUUGUACGGAACGAAAAGGCUCUGGCUAAUACCUGGGGCACAUGACGGUACCGUAAGAAUAAGCACCGGCUAACUACGUG
This 482-nucleotide ribosomal RNA is filed under the name uncultured bacterium. RNAcentral describes it as "partial 16S ribosomal RNA". It matches the Rfam family "Bacterial small subunit ribosomal RNA", at positions 30 to 507 of the family's 1533-position model. The record is from RNAcentral.